AGCGAACGCUGGCGGCAGGCUUAACACAUGCAAGUCGAACGGGCAUAGCAAUAUGUCAGUGGCAGACGGGUGAGUAACGCGUGGGAACGUACCUUUUGGUUCGGAACAACACAGGGAAACUUGUGCUAAUACCGGAUAAGCCCUUACGGGGAAAGAUUUAUCGCCGAAAGAUCGGCUCGCGUCUGAUUAGCUAGUUGGUAGGGUAAUGGCCUACCAAGGCGACGAUCAGUAGCUGGUCUGAGAGGAUGAUCAGCCACAUUGGGACUGAGACACGGCCCAAACUCCUACGGGAGGCAGCAGUGGGGAAUAUUGGACAAUGGGCGAAAGCCUGAUCCAGCCAUGCCGCGUGAGUGAUGAAGGCCCUAGGGUUGUAAAGCUCUUUUGUGCGGGAAGAUAAUGACGGUACCGCAAGAAUAAGCCCCGGCUAACUUCGUG
This 435-nucleotide ribosomal RNA is filed under the name uncultured bacterium. Its description in RNAcentral is "partial 16S ribosomal RNA". It matches the Rfam family "Bacterial small subunit ribosomal RNA", at positions 29 to 507 of the family's 1533-position model. The record is from RNAcentral.